This is a non-coding RNA of Aegilops tauschii subsp. strangulata, 2703 nucleotides long. The record is from RefSeq and is a predicted model, not a curated record. NCBI's taxonomy places the organism in Eukaryota, Viridiplantae, Streptophyta, Magnoliopsida, Poales, Poaceae.
CCCACUCCACCCACCACUGUUUCUCUAAAAAAAAAACACACCCAACCCUCGAUCCAGAUCCCUUCCACCUCCUCUCUUCUCCCCCGAUUCAACCCUCGUCUCCCUCCCAUCCCACGCCGCCGCCGCCGCCCACCACCCCGGCGACCUCCCCACCGGCGAUCCCCAGCCUCUCCCUCUCCUUCUCCCCUGCAUCCGUCGCCCGCACCUUCCCUCCCAGUCCCAGAUCACCCACUCGCUGUCGCUGGUCACCCACUCGCUGGACGCUCCUAGGCUCCUAGGUCACCCACUCCCCCACCCAGCGCCGCCGCGGAGAGGGAAUUGGGCGAUGGCGAUGUCGAUGUCGGCGGCCACCCGCGCGAUGCGGCGCAUCCACGCGCGCCGCACCUCCGCCUCCUGCCUCCUCCGCUCCGCCCGCCCGGACCCCAACCCGGCGGUGCUGCAGGGCCAAGCGCCCGUGCCCCGCUGGUACUGGGGAGCCGCCGCGGGCGCCGAUCCGCCGUCGACCCAAGCGCACCUUGGCGUGGCCACAGUGCCGCAGCGACAGGUGUUCGUGGUCGAGCGAUUCUGCCAGUACCACAAGAUCCUGCCCACUAGGGUUCACUUCCUCGUGCCUGUGCUUUUCUUGUGUUACUAGUGUCCGGCCAGAAUUAGUAAGGUGUGAUCAACGUGGCCUAUAAUUAGAUUAUUAGGAAAAAUACUAACUUGAGUCCGACUAGGACUUGUCCUAGCUAUCUAGCUGCGUUGGUAGGAGUAUAAUACCAGGAUUAGGAAUUUGUAGUCCAAGUCGGUUAAUAGGCGAGUCUGAUUUGACUAGCCUGUAUCCACUGGUGUAGCCUAAAUUUGAUAAGAUGCUUUUAGGCCAUAGUGUAGCCUAAACAUGCUCCUGCUUGCUCUUGCUAAACAUUAUAUAUUUUCGGAUGAAUUAUGAUUAAAAUUUGUUGCUUUUACACAGUUUGGGGCUGCUCGAGUGGAUGCGUGCUAAAUCGUAAAAGAAAAGAAGUGAAUAACUGAAUAUGAUAGUAGGUGUUGAACAUUGCUUUAUCCAAUGGCGUGUGAGUUGUGUCAAACAAGUAUAUUAUAGCUAGCCCUUAUAUAUAGAUAUUCCAUGUUAUUACCACUCUCCAGCUUUGUUCUACAAUCUAACAUCUAAUAAUUUCAUCAUGUAGAUGAAACCAUCGGAGGUCAAGAUGAAAAUUGACAUGUCCGCGACGUGUCCUCCAUCAGCUAUGCGGGCACAUGCAGACACAGGGCUUGCAAGGCUGAGCACCAGGCGAAUACUGGCAGGGAACUAGAUGGCGACUAGCAGGGCACGACAGUGCAGCGACCGGCUGCAGGGGAGUAGUGCAACAAGCGAAGGUACAAUGGCAGGUUGUGGUGACGGCCAACCGCAGGUGACUGACGAUGCUAGAAAUAGGCACAACAAUGUCAGGUUGUUGCAUAAUCGAGUAACAUACAACUAAAUAAUUUUGUUUCCCUUUUAUCUCAGCGUUUGUAUGUAGCUUUGCGUUAAAGCAAGCAAAUAUAGUAAAUGAAAAAAAAACUGUGUUUCAGCGGCACCAAAAUAAAUCUGCUGUUUACAUUAAAAAAAUGCGAUCGGAGUUGGUAGUUCUUCUUAUGAUGCCCAAAUUGUUAUGCAGUGUAAUGCAAUGGGACCAUAAGAAACAUCCAAGCUAAAGAGCUUUAUAUAUUGUGAUCGGUUAGUCUUAGUUCUUUCUGAAGUUCUUGAUUUUUCUUGAACUGAAUAUAUCACCUUGUCUUUGUUUGUUACAGUACAGUGAAGUUGGCAACAAACUACCAAGUCUUCUUCGGAUAUGUUUUUAAUAUAAAGAGAGGAAUCAAGGCCAAUUAUUCAUGGUGGUAGAUAAGUAUUUCUGUAGCUAAAGACUAGAGAACUGCAAUAUAGUCGCACCGGUACUUAUUCAGAUUAAAACAUCAUGAUUUCUUGGCUCCAGUUUACUAUAUUAUUUACCAAUAGUUAGUAUGACUACUUCAUUUCACAAUUAAAUAGUGGACAGAAGCUUUUAUAUAAAUUAAAUAACACAUGCACGCUGCCAGAUAACUGCAGUAGUGUCAACUUAAUUUGGAUGGAUUUGAAAGGAAAAACUUCAUUCAGGUAACUAUAAUAUUGUCUAUAAUCAUGGAUAUUAAUUUUUGUUGGGCGUAUGGUCCUUCUUAAGUAGUACAUGGUGCCAAUAAAACUUUAUUUUGAGCUUCGACUAAAGAUCUAGUCAUGUCUAAUAGAGUUCACAAUCUUUACUUUGAAGAUCUGUAGCUAGACGUUAGAACUGUUGACAUGCAAAUAAUUAACUAACUGCAUGUCGUACUUGAAUUACAGGUUUUUUGUUUUCAUCACUCCUUUGUUAUAUGGAAGAAGACUUCAUGACUUUGUGAAGCCACAUGAGCUAGGGGUUGCACCGCAGGAGCAUAGCGUGUACAAGUACUGAACAUUGAAGAUUGCAUUGCAGCUCAUCAGUAGAAGAUAGCGACAGAGUGCUGCAGGAUAAUGAGAUGUUGAAGCGGCAUACUGAAUCCAUGACACCGAAGUGCAAUUGCGGCAGAUUAUCUCUAUCUUUUCUUUUCAUUUUUCUUAUUAUCGAGUGAGAACAGAAUGAGGAACUGUGUGAUAGUACAUACAACAACUGUAGUAAAAAGAAACUUAUGUUUGCAAUUGUUAAUGACAUAGAUACUUGCAUGUUCUUUGAA